Molecule: non-coding RNA, 73 nt
Filed under: Cimex lectularius (bed bug)
Lineage: Eukaryota; Metazoa; Arthropoda; Insecta; Hemiptera; Cimicidae
Description: tRNA
Rfam family: tRNA
About the family: Transfer RNA (tRNA) molecules are approximately 80 nucleotides in length.
Source: Rfam by way of RNAcentral
GUCACGAUAGCUCAAGUGGUAGAGUAGCGGCCUAUCAAGCCCAAGGUCGUGGGUUCGAAUCCCGCUCGUGACA